AGGCCUAACACAUGCAAGUCGAGGGGUACAGUCCGGAGCAAUCUGGAGCUGACGACCGGCGCACGGGUGAGUAACGCGUAUGCAACUUUCCUCUAACAGAGAGAUAGCCCGAAGAAAUUCGGAUUAAUAUCUCAUAACAUCAUGAAAUCGCAUGGUUUUAUGAUUAAAGCUCCGGCGGUUAGAGAUGGGCAUGCGUGACAUUAGUUAGUUGGUGAGGUAACGGCUCACCAAGGCAACGAUGUCUAGGGGUUCUGAGAGGAUGAUCCCCCACACUGGUACUGAGACACGGACCAGACUCCUACGGGAGGCAGCAGUGAGGAAUAUUGGGCAAUGGACGCAAGUCUGACCCAGCCAUGCCGCGUGCAGGAUGACGGCCCUACGGGUUGUAAACUGCUUUUGUACGAGAAGAAUUCUCUUGACGUGUCAGGGGUUGACGGUAUCGUACGAAUAAGCAUCGGCUAACUCCGUGCCAGCAGCCGCGGUAAUACGGAGGAUGCAAGCGUUAUCCGGAUUUAUUGGGUUUAAAGGGUGCGUAGGCGGGAUAUUAAGUCAGUGGUGAAAUCCUGCAGCUUAACUGUAGAACUGCCAUUGAUACUGAUAUUCUUGAGUAUAGUUGAAGUGGGCGGAAUGUGUAAUGUAGCGGUGAAAUGCUUAGAUAUUACACAGAACACCGAUUGCGUAGGCAGCUCGCUAAACUAAUACUGACGCUGAGGCACGAAAGCGUGGGGAG
RNAcentral lists this ribosomal RNA (730 nucleotides) under uncultured organism. RNAcentral describes it as "bacterial SSU rRNA". It matches the Rfam family "Bacterial small subunit ribosomal RNA", at positions 44 to 768 of the family's 1533-position model. The record is from RNAcentral.